AAGUCGGACGGCAGCGGGGGGCAACUCCCUGCGAGAGUGGCGAACGGGUGAGUAAGACGUGGGUGAUCUGUCCCGGUCACGGGGAUAGCCUGUGGAAACAUGGGGUAAUACCGGAUAAGCUCUGCGGGGUAAAGGCCGCGGAGGAAAGGCGCGUAUGCGCCGGAGAGGGAUGAGCCUGCGGUCCAUUAGCUUGUUGGCAGGGUAAGAGCCUACCAAGGCGACGAUGGAUAGCCGGCCUGAGAGGGUGAACGGUCACACUGGGACUGAGAUACGGCCCAGACUCCUACGGGAGGCAGCAGCUAAGAAUCUUCCGCAAUGGGCGAAAGCCUGACGGAGCGACGCCGCGUGGACGAAGAAGGCCGAAAGGUUGUAAAGUUCUUUUCUUUGCGAAGAAUAAGGGGAGGAGGGAAUGCCUUUCUGAUGACGUUAGCGAAGGAAUAAGCCCCGGCUAAUUACGUGCCAGCAGCCGCGGUAAUACGUAAGGGGCGAGCGUUGUUCGGAAUUAUUGGGUGUAAAGGGCGCGCAGGCGGCUCUGAAAGUCCGGUGUGAAAGGCCGCAGCUUAACUGCGGUUGUGCGCUGGAAACUACAGGGCUUGAGUGCAGGAGGGGGAGCUGGAAUUCCAGGUGUAGGGGUGAAAUCUGUAGAUAUCUGGAAGAACACCGGUGGCGAAGGCGAGC
Molecule: ribosomal RNA, 678 nt
Filed under: uncultured spirochete
Lineage: Bacteria; Pseudomonadati; Spirochaetota; Spirochaetia; Spirochaetales
Description: bacterial SSU rRNA
Rfam family: Bacterial small subunit ribosomal RNA
Source: RNAcentral